GACGAACGCUGGCGGCGUGCUUAACACAUGCAAGUCGAACGGAAAGGCCCUGCUUUUGUGGGGUGCUCGAGUGGCGAACGGUGAGUAACACGUGAGUAACCUGCCCUUGACUUUGGGAUAACUUCAGGAAACUGGGGCUAAUACCGGAUAGGAGCUCCUGCUGCAUGGUGGGGUUGGAAAGUUUCGGCGGUUGGGGAUGGACUCGCGGCUUAUCAGCUUGUUGGUGGGGUAAGUGGCUUACCAAGGCUUUGACGGUAGCCGGCCUGAGAGGGUGACCGGCCACAUUGGGACUGAGAUACGGCCCAGACUCCUACGGGAGGCAGCAGUGGGGAAUAUUGCACAAUGGGCGGAAGCCUGAUGCAGCAACGCCGCGU
RNAcentral lists this ribosomal RNA (374 nucleotides) under uncultured bacterium. RNAcentral's name for it is "bacterial SSU rRNA". It matches the Rfam family "Bacterial small subunit ribosomal RNA", at positions 28 to 402 of the family's 1533-position model. The record is from RNAcentral.